GAUGAACGCUAGCUACAGGCUUAACACAUGCAAGUCGCAGGACUGGCGCACGGGUGAGUAAUGCGUAUCCAACCUUCCAAUAGCUACGGGAUAACCCGUUGAACGACGGCUUAAUACCGUAUGGUUAUGGUUGGGGAUGCGUCUGAUUAGCUUGUUGGCGGGGUAACGGCCCACCAAGGCGACGAUCAGUAGGGGGUCUGAGAGGAAGGUCCCCGACAUUGGAACUGGGACACGGUCCAAACUGCUACGAGAGGCAGCAGUGAGGAAUAUUGGGCAAUAGGCGAGAGCCUGAACCAGCCAAGGAGCGAGCAGGAUGUCGGGCUAUGGGUUAUAAGCUGCGUGUAUGUGAGGUUAGUUACCACAUGAAUAAGGACCGGCUAAUUCCGUGCCAGCAGCCGCGUUAAAC
This 406-nucleotide ribosomal RNA is filed under the name uncultured bacterium. RNAcentral's name for it is "partial 16S ribosomal RNA". It matches the Rfam family "Bacterial small subunit ribosomal RNA", at positions 28 to 525 of the family's 1533-position model. The record is from RNAcentral.